This 253-nucleotide ribosomal RNA is filed under the name uncultured bacterium. RNAcentral describes it as "partial 16S ribosomal RNA". It matches the Rfam family "Bacterial small subunit ribosomal RNA", at positions 524 to 776 of the family's 1533-position model. The record is from RNAcentral.
UACGGAGGGUGCAAGCGUUGUUCGGAUUUAUUGGGCUUAAAGCGCGUGUAGGCGGUUUCUUAAGUCUGAUGUGAAAGCCCUGGGCUCAACCCGGGAAGUGCAUUGGAUACUGGGAGACUUGAAUACGGGAGAGGGUAGUGGAAUUCCUAGUGUAGGAGUGAAAUCCGUAGAUAUUAGGAGGAACACCGGUGGCGAAGGCGGCUACCUGGACCGAUAUUGACGCUGAGACGCGAAAGCGUGGGGAGCAAACAGG